Oncorhynchus mykiss (rainbow trout) is the source of this 1438-nucleotide non-coding RNA. NCBI's taxonomy places the organism in Eukaryota, Metazoa, Chordata, Actinopteri, Salmoniformes, Salmonidae. The record is from RefSeq and is a predicted model, not a curated record.
GCUGUGACAUCAAUUACUGCUCAAAUGACUUUUUAUGUUGGUCUGAUGCUGUAUUCUCUCCUUAAUGAACCAUCCAUGGAAGCAAUGUCACUCCCAGAUGUUUUGAUUCCCAUAUUUGGUGUCAAUGUUUCAGCCGCUCUGAGCUGGGAGUGUCAGGACAGACCGAGAGCUCCGGGAGAAGAAAUAACAUUUAUGAAAGAAACCUCCCCCACGCUUGAUGUAGGAGGUCCAGGUGAUGCAGCAAGUUCUGAAAAUGAAAACGUGUCUAGUCCGGAGGGCCUGCAAAGUCCAGAUGGUAUGGCCUGCACAGACAGCCCACCUGGCCCCGAUGACGUCAUCACAACCAAUCCGACCAGCCGCUAUGACAUCCUGAAUAGCCCGACCUGCCCUACAUGAUCAGUCCAGACGUCAUUUUCAGGACCAGUCGUCCAGAGGUCAACUAUGAUGACGUGCCCUGUGAGAGCCUCCUCUCUCCUGUGGAAGUUGUGUGUCAGAUUGCAUCUAUGAGAACGUUCAGAGGCAAGUGGACCAUCAUGGCACCAACAACAGCUGGAGCGGCAGUGAGUUUGAGAGCUAUGAUGAGCAGUCAGACAGCGGGACCAAAGUCAAGACCCUGCAUGGCCCACAGCAGUAGUAAGAUAGGGAGGGCUCUUAUUUUGUAUACUCAGCUGCUUUUGCAAUCUCUAUAUUUUUUUGUAUGUGUUAUUCAGACCUUGAUACUAUACAUAACUUGGUGCUACAAUUAUUUAAUGACACCCAAGGAUGUCUGUUGCGUCAAUGUAAGCAUUGUUGUUUUUUGAAUGGAGAUGUAUUGAGGACUCUAGUGCCCAAAAGCCUGUUUUAGCAUGGGCUAAAUUGAGAACUUUCAUUGAGAACUUUCACCAUUUUGAAGUAGUCAACUGGGUAGAACUUCCUAUGGGUUAAGGAAGGAUCACAUAAUUCCAUCCGGGUCAUCAGGAUGGAUCAACCAAUGAAUUAUACUCGUGAGCAAACAUUCCAUAACUGCAGGUGGCAGUAAAUCGCCAAUCUUGGCUUUAUACCUGUUCAAACAACACACUACAGGUGGCAGUACGUACCCUUUCAGCUAACUACUUCAAAAUGGUACUGCUUGUGCGCUCGCACACAACAUAAUGGGACAGUUACAAUAUUGCAAUCUCUGUACAUCUCUGUCAGUGGAGGCUGCUGAGGGGAGGACGGCUCAUAAUAAUGGCUGGAAUGGAGUGUUUGAUACCGUUCCAUUCUCUCCAUUCCGGACAAUAUUAUGAGUCGUCCUCCCUCUCAGCAGCCUCCACUGGUCUCUAUGGUAUGUUGCUAUGUCUUUUUCAAAAUAUAGCAGUACUAUGUAGGCUCAAAUAUCAUAUGAAAAGCAUAUUAUGAAGUCAAAUGCACAUCACUUUUCAAUCCCAAAUUGUAACCAAUAAAGGUUUUCGUUGUAGUA